AACGAACGCUGGCGGCAUGCCUAACACAUGCAAGUCGAACGAGACCUUCGGGUCUAGUGGCGCACGGGUGCGUAACGCGUGGGAAUCUGCCCUUGGGUUCGGAAUAACAGUUGGAAACGACUGCUAAUACCGGAUGAUGACGUAAAUCCAAAGAUUUAUCGCCCAAGGAUGAGCCCGCGUAGGAUUAGCUAGUUGGUGAGGUAAAGGCUCACCAAGGCGACGAUCCUUAGCUGGUCUGAGAGGAUGAUCAGCCACACUGGGACUGAGACACGGCCCAGACUCCUACGGGAGGCAGCAGUGGGGAAUAUUGGACAAUGGGCGAAAGCCUGAUCCAGCAAUGCCGCGUGAGUGAUGAAGGCCUUAGGGUUGUAAAGCUCUUUUACCCGGGAUGAUAAUGACAGUACCGGGAGAAUAAGCUCCGGCUAACUCCGUG
Molecule: ribosomal RNA, 433 nt
Filed under: uncultured bacterium
Lineage: Bacteria
Description: partial 16S ribosomal RNA
Rfam family: Bacterial small subunit ribosomal RNA
Source: RNAcentral